UGUGUAAUAACGGAGUUUCCCACUACCCGUGAAUGCCUCUUUUUUUACGUCGCCGGCUCACUCCUCCAUCUCCGCCCACUCUCUGCUGAUCCCUGCCGGCCCGAGUGAAAGAGAUCUUUGGUUUUGCCUUUGCUGGUGACCUGCUGCAGAAGAUCCUCUCUCUCUAUCAUUAUAAGCAAUUCUGUCUAUCCUAUCACUCUCCCGACUCUAUCUAAUUUGACAGCCAUUCUAUCUUGUAUCCCUCUAUCCCUACUGCUCUAUCUAAUUUGACAGCCAUUCUAUCUUGUAUCCCUCUAUCCCUACUGCUCUAUCUAAUUUGACAGCCAUUCUAUCUUGUAUCCCUCUAUCUCUACUGCUCUAUCUAAUUUGACAGCCAUUCUAUCUUGUAUCCCUCUAUCCCUACUGCUCUAUCUAAUUUGACAGCCAUUCUAUCUUGUAUCCCUCUAUCCCAAGCGCUCUAUCUAAUUUCAGAAUCCAAGUUUUCAGAAAUCCAAGUUUUCAGAUUCCAAGUUUUCAGAAAUCCAAGUACCAGUACUUGAUCUAUCUGUUACAGAAUUCUGAGAGAUCUCUGCUCUCACUGCUCCUUCUUUCCUGUCAUUAAACUCUCUCACAUUCAGUCAUUUUGCUGAAAAUUACAAUUAGAAAGUUGAAUAUACAGUAGUAGAAUAUCAGUACAGUAGAACUUAUAGUAGUAACUACUUAUACAGCCCUACAUUUGUAGUUUUAACUUGGCAUUACUCUUUGGAAUAAACACUGAUAGUUUGGCUUACUGGUGCAAUUACUUUGAUACAUUAUAUAAAAUAUACACCUUUUGAAAGGUUUAUUUGUAAUAAGAUAAUCUGACUAUUCUGUAAUAUAUUCAGAGUGCUAUAUUCACAUAAAUAUUAAAUUUGAUUCAAAUACAUUUUUC
This is a long non-coding RNA of Oreochromis aureus, 910 nucleotides long. The record is from Ensembl. NCBI's taxonomy places the organism in Eukaryota, Metazoa, Chordata, Actinopteri, Cichliformes, Cichlidae.